ACAUUUUCUUUGAACAAGCAGAGACAGAG
RNAcentral lists this non-coding RNA (29 nucleotides) under Cricetulus griseus (Chinese hamster). Lineage: Eukaryota; Metazoa; Chordata; Mammalia; Rodentia; Cricetidae. The record is from RNAcentral.